Molecule: transfer RNA, 73 nt
Filed under: Metidiocerus sp.
Lineage: Eukaryota; Metazoa; Arthropoda; Insecta; Hemiptera; Cicadellidae
Description: tRNA-Trp
Source: RNAcentral
CUAAGAUUUUAAGUUAAAUAAUAAACUAUUAACCUUCAAAGUUAAAAAUAUAGUGUCUAAAGUAAAUCUUAGA